UUUGCAGGGAAAACACUUCAGCAUGGU
This 27-nucleotide non-coding RNA is filed under the name Homo sapiens (human). Lineage: Eukaryota; Metazoa; Chordata; Mammalia; Primates; Hominidae. The record is from RNAcentral.